This 62-nucleotide transfer RNA is filed under the name Crepidodera sp. BMNH 846615. Its description in RNAcentral is "tRNA-His". Lineage: Eukaryota; Metazoa; Arthropoda; Insecta; Coleoptera; Chrysomelidae. The record is from RNAcentral.
AUUUAGAUAGUUUAAUAAAAAUAUUGAUUUGUGGUAUCAAAGAUAUAAUUAUAUUCUAAAUA